RNAcentral lists this ribosomal RNA (414 nucleotides) under uncultured bacterium. RNAcentral's name for it is "bacterial SSU rRNA". It matches the Rfam family "Bacterial small subunit ribosomal RNA", at positions 167 to 579 of the family's 1533-position model. The record is from RNAcentral.
UACCUGAUGGUAUGAUGAGAUUGCAUGAUAGCAUCAUUAAAGAUUUAUCGGUGUACGAUGGGGAUGCGUUCCAUUAGGUAGUAGGCGGGGUAACGGCCCACCUAGCCAACGAUGGAUAGGGGUUCUGAGAGGAAGGUCCCCCACAUUGGAACUGAGACACGGUCCAAACUCCUACGGGAGGCAGCAGUGAGGAAUAUUGGUCAAUGGACGAGAGUCUGAACCAGCCAAGUAGCGUGAAGGAUGAAGGUCUUACGGAUUGUAAACUUCUUUUAUAAGGGAAUAAAACCUCCCACGUGUGGGAGCUUGUAUGUACCUUAUGAAUAAGCAUCGGCUAACUCCGUGCCAGCAGCCGCGGUAAUACGGAGGAUGCGAGCGUUAUCCGGAUUUAUUGGGUUUAAAGGGAGCGCAGACGGG